UUUUUAGCAAAAGACUGCAAGAGUGAAGGAUGUCUUUUGCCAUAUUUUUACAAAUGGAUCACGCUUGCUUUACAAAGUACUAGAAAGAUCCCUGUAAAAACAGUACUACAAGAUUUGUAACACAAGAUCGCACAGAAGCUGUACUGAUCUACACAGGAAGUUUUGCUACUUGUAAGAAAAUAAAAAUGAACUCUAACUUGGAGAAUCAACAUAUGUUUCUUUCCGUUGAUUACAUUCAAUUCAUGUAUGUACAGAAGAAACAAAAUUGCAACUCCACCAUUGACUAGUCCAUGGCUGAAUAGCCGAACUUCACAGAAUGACAUUUUUCGAACUUAGCCGAGGAAUCAUUUUCUCAAAUUCACGUUUGAACUCCAUUUGGAAAAUUUCAAGCUCCUCUCUGGGAGGUGUUGGCUGAUUUCCUCAGGGUGAUGAGCUUCUGAAGAUAGUGGUGCAAUCGCUCGAUGACAAAUGCGAUGAAUAGUGUGUAUCCUACAAGGAGCGAUAAGCUGUUAGAAAUGUUUAGCUUUGAACUUGAAUAAAAUAUAGGAACUGUGCUGAGUUUAUUUUCAUAUUUCUGCUAGCAUGCAUCAAGACAUUUUAUAUAUGGUUUUUACACUGCCAAUCCAGACUAGAUACUUCCAAAUCCUAAAAAACUUUAUUACAAUAGUCAGGAGUGAACUCAUACAUGUAUAUCUACUAAUAAACACCAACAAGAAAUUACAACAGCAGAGAUAUAAUCUAAAACUCAUGGCAUAUAUCUUUAUAUUCAUCAAGUUGAAAUCAACAAAAUUUAGAAUUUCCAAACACCAAAGGGCAAAAAAUGGUGAAAAUAGUCUCAAGAUUUACGGUCUAUGUCCACCGAGAGUUUUGUUGUUAAUAAUACCAAUAGAAGCUUUUCCAACAAAGCAUUCUCUAAUGCAAAUCUUCCUAGCAACCUCACCCAAUGACAUUUAUGCAUUAGCUCUGGUUUGAUUUGAAACUAAAUUAAAUGAAAUUUGAGAAAAGCUGUUAGGAGGAUAGGAAACCAUUUCCCAAACAAGAAAAAUAAACAAGUACAAGCAUGAGUAUAGCAAGAGGAGUUGUUAGCAUGUUUAUCUGAAUGCGUAUGUUUGUUCAGUACACCAUGUGAUGCAAGUACCAACUCUUUUUCUCUCUGAAACAAGCAAGAUUCACACAAACAUCCUGCAUUUCUAGCAUCAGAAGUUACUUGUCAUGAACUGACAGAUUUACACAAGUAGACCAACCAAUGGUGAAAUCUAUUAAUUGUUUUAAGGAAUCAAUAAUUUGGUACCCGCUGGGGAUUCAUGUGUUUCGUUGUACUGAAUUUAAUAACAAAAAUGCAGAUUCAUACAGAAAACAACCCAAAAGAAGUGAUGUCACCGUGUCCCGUUGCAGCUCAGCGUGUGUAGUGUACUUGCACUUACGAUCAACCAUUUUUUUGACUAGAUAUUUCAUGGGAGUCUAGGGUGCUGGCAAGGGUGAUCAGCUUGAGCGUUGCAUCAUCGAACGGCCUUGUGUGGAGGCAGUAAACGGCCUGGGCCAUGAAGGUUCAAGCAGGUUCAAGAAGUGGUGUUGAGAGGCUGUGUGGGACUAUAUUUUGUAGUGUCUGAAGAAGUUCAGUAGCUGCUCACCACGCACACCUACUCAACUGCUUCAUGCCACCGUCC
This 1667-nucleotide long non-coding RNA is filed under the name Triticum aestivum (bread wheat). RNAcentral's name for it is "long non-coding RNA (TAES_LNC023898)". Lineage: Eukaryota; Viridiplantae; Streptophyta; Magnoliopsida; Poales; Poaceae. The record is from RNAcentral.